UGUAGAUGAAAAGACUAUUUCUCUUUCCAUUCGGAUUUGGAUUAGCGGAAGAUAGGUUAAGGUGACCGGACAAUCUUCCAAGUAUUUGAAUAUAUGAGAAAUGUAUGUUGAAGGAGCUCAAGAUGCCGGCUUAGGGUUACAAAAGAUUGAUGUUGAGAGCAUGAGGUACCAUUUCUUUGUAAACAUAGUGUUAUUUGUGAGUUUUUUUUUUUAAUGAGAAGCGUGUGCUUUGUUACCAUCAUUGCAACCAUGGUAUCCGGCCAGUGAACCUUCAUGUUAAUAUAUCUGCACAUCGGUCUCGUCAUGAUAUGCUUCCUCUAUGCGUCAAAAUCGAUUUUCUCAAUAUGAAUUCCAGCGGUCAGGCCAGCUCCUAGGUAUGUUCGCCCAAGGAUGGUUUGUACUUUUUUGUUUACUGGACGCGUGGCAGGUUUUUAACAGCACCAUGUGGCCUCAUGGAUGUAUGUCAGGUGUUGGGUUAUUCAUAUAAACACAAGAGAAAGAAGAGAAAGUGAGAGAACAAAAAAUAUAAACUUAAGAGAGAGAAUCCGACCGACUGUUUUACAGCAACGACUAACAGCGCCUCUGAACGACGACGACUAGGGUUACCGGGAUGUCCAGAGGAGGCGAAGGUGUUUCGCAGAGGGGUUUUGGUUCAACAUGGCAUCGACGACAACGGAGUUUAGGGUUCCGACGACCAUUUUGUUAGAACGGAGACAACAGUGCCAGUUUAGGCGUCGACCAACCCUCCGACGAAGUUCAGGUAAGCCUGCCUUUGACGUUUUGACCUGUACCAAAAUGACUCGUCUGAAAUUGAUUAUAAUGUUUAAAACACUUUAAAGAAGAUAAAAAGUAUUAAAAAACCAUAUUUAUUAUUAUAAUUUACAAGUAAAUAUAAUUAUAUAAAAUUUAGUAAUAUCAAAAUUUAUAUACGAGGUUCCAAAAAAGGUGUUUGAUUAAGAAGCCAAAUGUGGAUUGUUGGUAAAAAUGGGUUCGAGUGCUUUAUUUGUGGACUGUAGCGUUUUUCGUUACAUACACAGCCUUAUAUCUCUUUUUUUUAUUAAAUGCCAACUUUGAGAGAUCUAAGUAUACUUGAAACAGGUACUAUCAGAUAUUCUUUUCUUGUAUCAUAUGUAAAAGGUCAUAUUAUUUGAUAUGAAAAUAUUGUUUUAUAUAUUUUAUAUAUGCAACAUUGUUUGCUCAAGUGGGUCUUGAAGCUGCUUUCUGAAGUAGCAUCAUUCUUUGCUAAAAGGCCAGGUCAGUGACAAUUACAUUUAGAUCACAUGAGCCCAGUGAUGAUUACUGUUUUCGUUUUUGUAGGUACAAGCUUAUCUUUAUGGUGGAUACUAGGAAGAUAUUGGAUUCUUGAUGCUAAUAUCAUAUAGUAUUAUCGGUGGAGGGUGUCGGAAUAAGGUAGGCGAUGGAAGGUAUACAUGUGAAGGCAACAGCAAUACGAAAAAGACUAGGUAUCCGGAUGCAAGAAAUGGAAAUGAAGAAAACAACUUUUGCGAUCUAUGUAUAAGCGAAAUACUAUAUGAAAACCUAUGUGCUUCUCUUAAUUGUAAAACAUAUCAACAUCCUUUUGUAUCAACUUUAUUAGUGCAAGGAAAAUUUCAAACUGA
Long non-coding RNA from Helianthus annuus (common sunflower), 1619 nucleotides. RefSeq lists it as uncharacterized. Lineage: Eukaryota; Viridiplantae; Streptophyta; Magnoliopsida; Asterales; Asteraceae. The record is from RefSeq and is a predicted model, not a curated record. The transcript has 4 exons.